UACGUAGGGUGCGAGCGUUAAUCGGAAUUACUGGGCGGAAAGCGUGCGCAGGCGGUUCGUUGUGUCUGAUGUGAAAGCCCCGGGCUCAACCUGGGAAUGGCAUUGGAAGCUGGCGAGCUAGAGUGUGGCAGAGGGGGGUGGAAUUCCGCGUGUAGCAGUGAAAUGCGUAGAGAUGCGGAGGAACACCGAUGGCGAAGGCAGCCCCCUGGGCUGACACUGACGCUCAGGCACGAAAGCGUGGGGAGCAAACAGG
RNAcentral lists this ribosomal RNA (253 nucleotides) under uncultured bacterium. RNAcentral's name for it is "partial 16S ribosomal RNA". It matches the Rfam family "Bacterial small subunit ribosomal RNA", at positions 524 to 776 of the family's 1533-position model. The record is from RNAcentral.